This 324-nucleotide ribosomal RNA is filed under the name uncultured bacterium. Its description in RNAcentral is "bacterial SSU rRNA". It matches the Rfam family "Bacterial small subunit ribosomal RNA", at positions 29 to 384 of the family's 1533-position model. The record is from RNAcentral.
AACGAACGCUGGCGGCAUGCCUAACACAUGCAAGUCGAACGAGACCUUCGGGUCUAGUGGCGCACGGGUGCGUAACGCGUGGGAACCUGCCUUUAGGUUCGGAAUAACUCAGAGAAAUUUGAGCUAAUACCGGAUAAUGUCUUCGGACCAAAGAUUUAUCGCCUUUAGAUGGGCCCGCGUUGGAUUAGCUAGUUGGUGGGUAAAGCCUACCAAGGCGACGAUCCAUAGCUGGUCUGAGAGGAUGAUCAGCCACACUGGGACUGAGACACGGCCCAGACUCCUACGGAGGCAGCAGUGGGAAUAUUGGACAAUGGGCGAAAGCCU